GACGAACGCUGGCGGCGUGCCUAAUACAUGCAAGUAGAACGCACAGUUUAUACCGUAGCUUGCUACACCAUAGACUGUGAGUUGCGAACGGGUGAGUAACGCGUAGGUAACCUGCCUGGUAGCGGGGGAUAACUAUUGGAAACGAUAGCUAAUACCGCAUAAUAUUGAUUAUUGCAUGAUAAUUAAUUGAAAGGCGCAAUUGCACCACUACCAGAUGGACCUGCGUUGUAUUAGCUAGUAGGUGAGGUAACGGCUCACCUAGGCGACGAUACAUAGCCGACCUGAGAGGGUGAUCGGCCACACUGGGACUGAGACACGGCCCAGACUCCUACGGGAGGCAGCAGUAGGGAAUCUUCGGCAAUGGACGAAAGUCUGACCGAGCAACGCCGCGUGAGUGAAGAAGGUUUUCGGAUCGUAAAGCUCUGUUGUAAGAGAAGAACGGGUGUGAGAGUGGAAAGUUCACACUGUGACGGUAUCUUACCAGAAAGGGACGGCUAACUACGUG
Molecule: ribosomal RNA, 505 nt
Filed under: uncultured bacterium
Lineage: Bacteria
Description: partial 16S ribosomal RNA
Rfam family: Bacterial small subunit ribosomal RNA
Source: RNAcentral